UGAGCAAUCUGCGCUUCUCAUCGGAAUAAGCGUUGGAAACGACGUCUAAUGCCGAAUACGACCUCCUUUCGCAUGAUCGGAGGUGGAAAGCUCCGGCGGAGAAGGAUGAGCUCGCGGCCUAUCAGCUAGUUGGUGUGGGUAAUGGCCCAUAAGGCGACGACGGGUAGCCGGCCUGAGAGGGUGACCGGCCACACUGGGACUGAGACACGGCCCAGACUCCUAGGAG
Molecule: ribosomal RNA, 226 nt
Filed under: uncultured bacterium
Lineage: Bacteria
Description: partial 16S ribosomal RNA
Rfam family: Bacterial small subunit ribosomal RNA
Source: RNAcentral